GGAGACGCUCUUCACCCCCCGACUUCAAAAUCUCAGAAAACUCCAAACACGUGGGCACAGUCAUUUAAUCUAGAGUAUUUAUUAUGAAUAGGCCUUCACAAAUAUCACAAGAUGUAGCACAACCGCUUUCUAAUCAGCAUGAAACCGCGAUGAUGUCCUCCGACGAAGAUUCCAUGUCACGCGACUCGGGGAUCUGCGAGUUGAUGGACGAGAACACGCCGGUUUGCUUCUCCUCAAUGUCUACAGAGUCGACGACCGUCCAAGUCGAAGAGUGCAUGGAAAUCGAUGAGGAUGAAAAUUUACAGCCAGGACCUGUGUCUCGCCGCCAGAAAAAAGUCACGUUCAGACGAGAGAAGAGCUCCUGCCAGGUGCGUCUGUUCGACGAGUCGCCCACCUCGCACAAGAUGUUCAUGCGCCCGCAAGCCCCGCUGUCGGUUCGAUCCGAAAACCAACAACUCCUACAGCAGCGGAAACGGAAGUUCGAGAAGAGCGAACAAUCGUCAGAUCAUUUCCAUUUAGAGCCGAUGAGCGUCGAGGCGAUGGACGACGACGAAAUCGUGAUGAUGGACCAGAACACCACCAAGUGGGAGCCAGGCUUUCGAGCGCCGAACCAUAAGAAGGGACGUCUCACCCGUUCAGCAACCGCCUUCCCGUCACUAGAGACAUUUGAGGAGGAAGAGCACGAAGAGCAACAUCAUCUGAACGUGAAAUACCACCUCAAAACUGUUGCAAAGGAAUCCUCGAAAGGCUUCAGAAGAAUCACCGCCGAAACAUUGAGAGACAUCUUUUUCCGACUCUCUGAAAAAGAAUUUGAUGACAAGUAUAUUCUCAUUGAUUGCCGCUACCCAUAUGAAUAUAAUCGUGGUCACAUCAAGAACGCCAUCAACCACUUCGAUCGGGUCACAGUGAGCAAGAUCUUCUAUGAUGAGAAUGGCCGAAAGCGGUGCAACAAGAUUCCGAUCUUCUAUUGCGAAUUCUCACAGGCUCGUGGUCCAAAAAUGGCGUAUGCUCUUCGGCAAGUAGAUCGAGAGCUUAAUGUGAACCACUACCCAAAAUGUGAUUAUGAAGAGAUGUAUGUGCUCGAUCUUGGAUAUCGAAAUUUUUUCUUCGCUGCGAACGAAGCCAAUAUCACGAAUCUCUGCCAACCCCACGCAUACUGUGAAAUGCACGACAAGGAGCACACGAUGGAGCUCAAGAAGUACAACUUCCACAACAAGGGUCAAUCGGUACUGCGGACUGUGAGCAUGAGCCGCUCCUUCAAGUCCUUGCCGACGGGUUCCGCGUUCAACUUCGUCGCCUCAUCUGCUUCGUUCACCUCGGCACCGUCCACGUCGACAGAGAACAUUGAUACCAACGAUGAUUGCCAGAAAAGCCGGACGCCUGCCGUUCCGCGGAUCGCUUCGAGGCGUAACUUGUUCAGUGAUCCUUCACACUCUCCAACGAACUUUGCACAAUUUCCUCUGACUUGUUCACGAGAAACGCCCUCUCCCCACAAACAUCCCUUGACAUGUCCUCGUUUUUCAUAA
This 1526-nucleotide unclassified non-coding RNA is filed under the name Caenorhabditis elegans. Its description in RNAcentral is "Non-coding transcript of protein-coding gene cdc-25.2". The record is from RNAcentral. Lineage: Eukaryota; Metazoa; Nematoda; Chromadorea; Rhabditida; Rhabditidae.